Molecule: ribosomal RNA, 1141 nt
Filed under: Flavobacterium sp.
Lineage: Bacteria; Pseudomonadati; Bacteroidota; Flavobacteriia; Flavobacteriales; Flavobacteriaceae
Description: bacterial SSU rRNA
Rfam family: Bacterial small subunit ribosomal RNA
Source: RNAcentral
GGUAGGGUUCUUCGGAACUUGAGACCGGCGCACGGGUGCGUAACGCGUAUGCAAUCUACCUUUUACAGAGGGAUAGCCCAGAGAAAUUUGGAUUAAUACCUCAUAGCAUAUAGACCUGGCAUCAGGAUUAUAUUAAAGUCACAACGGUAAAAGAUGAGCAUGCGUCCCAUUAGCUAGUUGGUAAGGUAACGGCUUACCAAGGCUACGAUGGGUAGGGGUCCUGAGAGGGAGAUCCCCCACACUGGUACUGAGACACGGACCAGACUCCUACGGGAGGCAGCAGUGAGGAAUAUUGGACAAUGGGCGCAAGCCUGAUCCAGCCAUGCCGCGUGCAGGAUGACGGUCCUAUGGAUUGUAAACUGCUUUUAUACAGGAAGAAACAUCCCUACGUGUAGGGACUUGACGGUACUGUAAGAAUAAGGAUCGGCUAACUCCGUGCCAGCAGCCGCGGUAAUACGGAGGAUCCAAGCGUUAUCCGGAAUCAUUGGGUUUAAAGGGUCCGUAGGCGGUUUAGUAAGUCAGUGGUGAAAGCCCAUCGCCUCAACGGUGGAACGCCCAUUGAAUACUGCUGAACUUGAAUUAUUUAGGAAGUAACUAGAAUAUGUAGUGUAGCGGUGAAAUGCUUAGAGAUUACAUGGAAUACCAAUUGCGAAGGCAGGUUACUACUAAUUGAUUGACGCUGAUGGACGAAAGCGUGGGUAGCGAACAGGAUUAGAUUACCCUGGUAGUCCACGCCGUAAACGAUGGAUACUAGCUGUUGGAAGCAAUUUCAGUGGCUAAGCGAAAGUGAUAAGUAUCCCACCUGGGGAGUACGUUCGCAAGAAUGAAACUCAAAGGAAUUGACGGGGGCCCGCACAAGCGGUGGAGCAUGUGGUUUAAUUCGAUGAUACGCGAGGAACCUUACCAAGGCUUAAAUGUAGAUUGACCGGUUUGGAAACAGAUCUUUCGCAAGACAAUUUACAAGGUGCUGCAUGGUUGUCGUCAGCUCGUGCCGUGAGGUGUCAGGUUAAGUCCUAUAACGAGCGCAACCCCUGUUGUUAGUUGCCAGCGAGUCAUGUCGGGAACUCUAACAAGACUGCCAGUGCAAACUGUGAGGAAGGUGGGGAUGACGUCAAAUCAUCACGGCCCUUACGCCUUGGGC